This 84-nucleotide ribosomal RNA is filed under the name Bacteroides fragilis. Lineage: Bacteria; Pseudomonadati; Bacteroidota; Bacteroidia; Bacteroidales; Bacteroidaceae. The record is from RNAcentral.
UCAGGUGACUAUAGCAUCAGGGUUCCACCUCUUCCCAUUCCGAACAGAGAAGUUAAGCCUGAUCACGCCGAUGGUACUGCGUAA